Molecule: long non-coding RNA, 781 nt
Organism: Brassica oleracea var. oleracea
Lineage: Eukaryota; Viridiplantae; Streptophyta; Magnoliopsida; Brassicales; Brassicaceae
Exons: 2
Source: RefSeq, a predicted model, not a curated record
GAUUUGUUUCUUCUUCUUCUUUUCGUUCGAUAAGCCGUAAACUUUUACAAGCCACAAAACAAAAUGUCUAAGCGUCGUUCUCCUCCAAAUCAAUCACCAAGAAUAUAGCUUUUACUUCAUAUCCAACCCCACCUCUUCAUCGCAGCUAAGAAAUCCUUAGCCUUGGCAUCUCAAUCUUAUCACCAACUUCUCCACCGCUCUCGCACCUUCCGACAAUGCCGCUUUCAAUCGAUCUAGGCCGUAUCUUCUCCUUCAUGUUUAUUUUGAUUGACCAGUCUCUUCGUUUUUGUUGACUCUCUGAAUUUCAGGGCCACCAAGUUAACUCGGUUUAUCCGGUUGACUCUGUUUACCCAGUUCUGAGUUAUCCAAGUGAGUCGACUAGCGAUUUUUAUUUCUGGGCCAAUAAAGAGAUGGAUGGAGAAGAAGGUGGUGACAUGAGGAAAUUCUUGAGAACUCCAGUUUACAUAGAUACAUGCAAUGGUGGAUCUGAUCUUGUGUACGGUGUUGAAAAGAAUGGUGGGCUAGUGAACGCUAGGGGAAAUAAUUUCAAAGUACUUAGAUUCAUAGUUCACGAUUACAUGAGUUCUGGGUAAAGAUUAUUGCUAAACCCACGAGCUCUGUUAUUUUGUUUUUUUUUUCUUGUUUAAAAUAAUAAUUCUUAGUGUACAUGGAUGUUUAUGCACAUGUGUACAUGAAGAUUUUUCUAAUUCAUUGUACAUGUGGAUAUGUUUAUGUGUACCCAUAAGACUGUUUGCCUCUAAACAUGUUAAUUCUUGAUUCA